RNAcentral lists this ribosomal RNA (278 nucleotides) under Limosilactobacillus fermentum. RNAcentral describes it as "Lactobacillus fermentum partial 16S ribosomal RNA". It matches the Rfam family "Bacterial small subunit ribosomal RNA", at positions 367 to 637 of the family's 1533-position model. The record is from RNAcentral. Lineage: Bacteria; Bacillati; Bacillota; Bacilli; Lactobacillales; Lactobacillaceae.
CACAAUGGGCGCAAGCCUGAUGGAGCAACACCGCGUGAGUGAAGAAGGGUUUCGGCUCGUAAAGCUCUGUUGUUAAAGAAGAACACGUAUGAGAGUAACUGUUCAUACGUUGACGGUAUUUAACCAGAAAGUCACGGCUAACUACGUGCCAGCAGCCGCGGUAAUACGUAGGUGGCAAGCGUUAUCCGGAUUUAUUGGGCGUAAAGAGAGUGCAGGCGGUUUUCUAAGUCUGAUGUGAAAGCCUUCGGCUUAACCGGAGAAGUGCAUCGGAAACUGGA